RNAcentral lists this long non-coding RNA (1012 nucleotides) under Sus scrofa (pig). RNAcentral's name for it is "lncRNA (ENSSSCG00070020392.1)". Lineage: Eukaryota; Metazoa; Chordata; Mammalia; Artiodactyla; Suidae. The record is from RNAcentral.
GAGGCUGAGUGAACGGAGGCUGCCCACGCCAUGGACGGGUCUCAAACACGUGGCGCUGAGCGAGAGAAGGCGAAGGAUGAUUUCUAUCCAUACAUGCUCCACGUGCAGCUCUUCCGUUUGCUCAUCAGUAUUCGGAACCUACCAAAGGCUGCUGCCACCUGGAGUCAUUACAUCACCAUCGGAACAGACCCUCGUGUCGUGUGAGCAAUGGUUGGCUUUUUCAAAGCACUUUCACCUGCAUUAUCUCAUCUCCCAUCCCACGGAGCAGACGAGCACAAACCCCCGUGGAGACUAGGCCUGUUUUACAGAUAAGGUAAGAGUGAGUAAAAUGACAACUGCAAAAAAAGAAAAAAAAAAUACCUCAAGGUCAAGGGAGCGUCUUUUCCCUGGAGUUUCAUAGUUGUGUCUACAAAGACCAAGCAUUUUUAAAGAUCUCUAAGCUUUAGGCUAACCUCAGUGGCUUCCCAAGUCUCUUAGGAGAGACCAUUUUGGCUCUUGGGUUCAUUUGCAACUUGCCUUCUUCCCAGGGACCCCAGAAACCUCCAGGCUGUGAGGCAGUGGGAUUAGACUGGCUUUGAAACAGACAAACUGAGGCUUGGAUCUGGCUCACCCAGCUGUGAGAUGUCAAGUGAGUUAUUGACCUCUCUGAGCCUCCGUUUCUCCAUCAGGAAAAUACAGGUGUCAGAGUAAAAGCUCUUUAGGGUCCCUGCUAGGCUUAACAGUCUGUGAUUUUGUGAUUCUAUGAAUUACCCUGAAUUUGCAUAAGUAUAGCAUUGUAUAGGUUUCGAAGCACUUUCACAUAGCUUUCAGCAGUUUAUUUGAUCUUGGCCACAGCUCUGUGGGGUGGGCAGGCAGGCGUGCCAUAUUUUCAUAUCCCCAUUUGAGAGAUGGGGAAAUUGAGGUGCAGAGAGAUGAAGUGGCCAGCCAUAGGCACUCUGGCAUGCUGGUGCUGGCCAGGACCUGAGCAGACACGUGCAGAUUUCUAUAGACUGUCUGAUGGGCGUCCCCUUCA